GAUGAACGCUGGCGGCGUGCCUAAUACAUGCAAGUCGAGCGAACAGACGAGGAGCUUGCUCCUUUGACGUUAGCGGCGGACGGGUGAGUAACACGUGGGUAACCUACCUAUAAGACUGGGAUAACUUCGGGAAACCGGAGCUAAUACCGGAUAAUAUUUCGAACCGCAUGGUUCGAUAGUGAAAGAUGGCUUUGCUAUCACUUAUAGAUGGACCUGCGCCGUAUUAGCUAGUUGGUAAGGUAACGGCUUACCAAGGCAACGAUACGUAGCCGACCUGAGAGGGUGGUCGGCCACACUGGAACUGAGACACGGUCCAGACUCCUACGGGAGGCAGCAGUAGGGAAUCUUCCGCAAUGGGCGAAAGCCUGACGGAGCAACGCUGCGUGAGUGAUGAAGGUCUUCGGAUCGUAAAACUCUGUUAUUAGGGAAGAACAAACGUGUAAGUAACUGUGCACGUCUUGACGGUACCUAAUCAGAAAGCCACGGCUAACUACGUGCCAGCAGCCGCGGUAAUACGUAGGUGGCAAGCGUUAUCCGGAAUUAUUGGGCGUAAAGCGCGCGUAGGCGGUUUUUUAAGUCUGAUGUGAAAGCCCACGGCCCAACCGUGGAGGGUCAUUGGAAACUGGAAAACUUGAGUGCAGAAGAGGAAAGUGGAAUUCCAUGUGUAGCGGUGAAAUGCGCAGAGAUAUGGAGGAACACCAGUGGCGAAGGCGACUUUCUGGUCUGUAACUGACGCUGAUGUGCGAAAGCGUGGGGAUCAAACAGGAUUAGAUACCCUGGUAGUCCACGCCGUAAACGAUGAGUGCUAAGUGUUAGGGGGUUUCCGCCCCUUAGUGCUGCAGCUAACGCAUUAAGCACUCCGCCUGGGGAGUACGACCGCAAGGUUGAAACUCAAAGGAAUUGACGGGGACCCGCACAAGCGGUGGAGCAUGUGGUUUAAUUCGAAGCAACGCGAAGAACCUUACCAAAUCUUGACAUCCUUUGACCCUUCUAGAGAUAGAAGUUUCCCCUUCGGGGGACAAAGUGACAGGUGGUGCAUGGUUGUCGUCAGCUCGUGUCGUGAGACGUUGGGUUAAGUCCCGCAACGAGCGCAACCCUUAAGCUUAGUUGCCAUCAUUAAGUUGGGCACUCUAAGUUGACUGCCGGUGACAAACCGGAGGAAGGUGGGGAUGACGUCAAAUCAUCAUGCCCCUUAUGAUUUGGGCUACACACGUGCUACAAUGGACAAUACAAAGGGCAGCGAAACCGCGAGGUCAAGCAAAUCCCAUAAAGUUGUUCUCAGUUCGGAUUGUAGUCUGCAACUCGACUACAUGAAGCUGGAAUCGCUAGUAAUCGUAGAUCAGCAUGCUACGGUGAAUACGUUCCCGGGUCU
This 1372-nucleotide ribosomal RNA is filed under the name uncultured bacterium. Its description in RNAcentral is "bacterial SSU rRNA". It matches the Rfam family "Bacterial small subunit ribosomal RNA", at positions 28 to 1381 of the family's 1533-position model. The record is from RNAcentral.